GAUGAACGCUGGCGGCGUGCCUAAUACAUGCAAGUCGAGCGGUAAGGCCUCUUCGGAGGUACACGAGCGGCGGACGGCUGAGUAACACGUAGGAACGUACCCCAAACUAAGGGAUAAGCACCAGAAAUGGUGUCUAAUACCGCAUGUGCUCUAAGGAGUAAAGCUUCGGCGGUUUGGGAGCGGCCUGCGUCCGAUUAGCUUGAUGGUGAGGUAAUGGCUCACCAUGGCGACGAUCGGUAGCUGGUCUGAGAGGAUGAUCAGCCAGACUGGGACUGAGAACGGCCCAGACUCCUACGGGAGGCAGCAGUAGGGAAUUUUCCACAAUGGGCGAAAGCCUGAUGGAGCAACGCCGCGUGCAGGAUUAAGGCCUUCGGGUUGUAAACUGCUUUUAUUUGUGACGAAUAUGACGGUAGCAAAUGAAUAAGGAUCGGCUAACUCCGUGCCAGCAGCCGCCGCCG
Molecule: ribosomal RNA, 458 nt
Filed under: uncultured bacterium
Lineage: Bacteria
Description: partial 16S ribosomal RNA
Rfam family: Bacterial small subunit ribosomal RNA
Source: RNAcentral